AAGUCGUAACAAGGUUUCCGUAGGUGAACCUGCGGAAGGAUCAUUAGAGAAAUAAGAAAAAUACACCGUGCAAGUCAAGAACUUGAAAUAAUACGCAUAGUAUAAAUAUAAUAAUAUAAAAUAUAAAAAAAUAUAUAAAACUUUUAGCAACGGAUCUCUUGGUUCUC
RNAcentral lists this unclassified non-coding RNA (167 nucleotides) under fungal sp. Its description in RNAcentral is "partial internal transcribed spacer region". The stretch from base 1 to 46 matches the Rfam family "Eukaryotic small subunit ribosomal RNA", at positions 1786 to 1831 of the family's 1831-position model. The record is from RNAcentral. Lineage: Eukaryota; Fungi.